Molecule: ribosomal RNA, 1352 nt
Filed under: Streptomyces sp.
Lineage: Bacteria; Bacillati; Actinomycetota; Actinomycetes; Kitasatosporales; Streptomycetaceae
Description: bacterial SSU rRNA
Rfam family: Bacterial small subunit ribosomal RNA
Source: RNAcentral
GGUGAGUAACACGUGGGCAAUCUGCCCUGCACUCUGGGACAAGCCCUGGAAACGGGGUCUAAUACCGGAUACGACCAUCUUGGGCAUCCUUGAUGGUGGAAAGCUCCGGCGGUGCAGGAUGAGCCCGCGGCCUAUCAGCUUGUUGGUGAGGUAAUGGCUCACCAAGGCGACGACGGGUAGCCGGCCUGAGAGGGCGACCGGCCACACUGGAACUGAGACACGGCCCAGACUCCUACGGGAGGCAGCAGUGGGGAAUAUUGCACAAUGGGCGCAAGCCUGAUGCAGCGACGCCGCGUGAGGGAUGACGGCCUUCGGGUUGUAAACCUCUUUCAGCAGGGAAGAAGCGAAAGUGACGGUACCUGCAGAAGAAGCGCCGGCUAACUACGUGCCAGCAGCCGCGGUAAUACGUAGGGCGCAAGCGUUGUCCGGAAUUAUUGGGCGUAAAGAGCUCGUAGGCGGCUUGUCGCGUCGGUUGUGAAAGCCCGGGGCUUAACCCCGGGUCUGCAGUCGAUACGGGCAGGCUAGAGUUCGGUAGGGGAGAUCGGAAUUCCUGGUGUAGCGGUGAAAUGCGCAGAUAUCAGGAGGAACACCGGUGGCGAAGGCGGAUCUCUGGGCCGAUACUGACGCUGAGGAGCGAAAGCGUGGGGGAGCGAACAGGAUUAGAUACCCUGGUAGUCCACGCCGUAAACGGUGGGCACUAGGUGUGGGCAACAUUCCACGUUGUCCGUGCCGCAGCUAACGCAUUAAGUGCCCCGCCCGGGGGAGUACGGCCGCAAGGGCUAAAACUCAAAGGAAAUUGACGGGGGGCCCGGCACAAGCGGGCGAACCAUGUGGGCUUAAUUGCGACGCAACGCCGAAGAACCUUUACCAAGGCUUGACAUACACCGGAAACAUUCAGAGAUGGGUGCCCCCUUGUGGUCGGUGUACAGGUGGUGCAUGGCUGUCGUCAGCUCGUGUCGUGAGAUGUUGGGUUAAGUCCCGCAACGAGCGCAACCCUUGUCCCGUGUUGCCAGCAGGCCCUUGUGGUGCUGGGGACUCACGGGAGACCGCCGGGGUCAACUCGGAGGAAGGUGGGGACGACGUCAAGUCAUCAUGCCCCUUAUGUCUUGGGCUGCACACGUGCUACAAUGGUCGGUACAAUGAGCUGCGAUACCGCGAGGUGGAGCGAAUCUCAAAAAGCCGGUCUCAGUUCGGAUUGGGGUCUGCAACUCGACCCCAUGAAGUCGGAGUCGCUAGUAAUCGCAGAUCAGCAUUGCUGCGGUGAAUACGUUCCCGGGCCUUGUACACACCGCCCGUCACGUACGAAAGUCGGUAACACCCGAAGCCGGUGGCCCAACCCGUUCGCGGGAGGG